RNAcentral lists this ribosomal RNA (252 nucleotides) under Palaeomicra chalcophanes. RNAcentral describes it as "partial 18S ribosomal RNA". It matches the Rfam family "Eukaryotic small subunit ribosomal RNA", at positions 811 to 1064 of the family's 1831-position model. Lineage: Eukaryota; Metazoa; Arthropoda; Insecta; Lepidoptera; Micropterigidae. The record is from RNAcentral.
UAAAGGUGCAUGGAAUAAUGGAAUAUGAUCAUGGUUUUAUUUUAUUGGUUUUAGAGACCAAGAUAAUGAUUAAUGGAAGCAACUGGGGGCAUUCGUAUUGCSACRUUAGAGGUGAAAUUCUUGGAUCGUCGCAAGCAACCACUGCGAAAGCAUUUGCCAAAGGUGUUUUCAUCAAUCAAGAACGAAAGUUAGAGGUUCGAAGGCGAUUAGAUACCGCCCUAGUUCUAACCAUAAAUGAUGCCAGCCAGCGAU